This 500-nucleotide ribosomal RNA is filed under the name uncultured bacterium. RNAcentral describes it as "partial 16S ribosomal RNA". It matches the Rfam family "Bacterial small subunit ribosomal RNA", at positions 28 to 523 of the family's 1533-position model. The record is from RNAcentral.
GGUGAACGCUGGCGGCAUGCCUUACACAUGCAAGUCGAACGGCAGCACGGGAGCAAUCCUGGUGGCGAGUGGCGAACGGGUGAGUAAAGUAUCGGAACGUGCCCAGUCGUGGGGGAUAACGUAGCGAAAGUUACGCUAAUACCGCAUACGAUCUAUGGAUGAAAGCGGGGGAUCGCAAGACCUCGCGCGAUUGGAGCGGCCGAUAUCGGAUUAGGUAGUUGGUGGGGUAAAGGCCCCCCAAGCCGACGAUCUGUAGCUGGUCUGAGAGGACGACCAGCCACACUGGGACUGAGACACGGCCCAGACUCCUACGGGAGGCGGCAGUGGGGAAUUUUGGACAAUGGGCGAAAGCCUGAUCCAGCCAUGCCGCGUGCAGGAUGAAGGCCUUCGGGUUGUAAACUGCUUUUGUACGGAACGAAAAGGACUGCCCUAAUACGGUGGUCCCAUGACGGUACCGUAAGAAUAAGCACCGGCUAACUACGUGCCAGCAGCCGCAGUAA